Molecule: transfer RNA, 98 nt
Filed under: Streptomyces huasconensis
Lineage: Bacteria; Bacillati; Actinomycetota; Actinomycetes; Kitasatosporales; Streptomycetaceae
Also listed under: 1 other name
Description: tRNA-Leu
Rfam family: tRNA
About the family: Transfer RNA (tRNA) molecules are approximately 80 nucleotides in length. Their secondary structure includes four short double-helical elements and three loops (D, anti-codon, and T loops).
Source: RNAcentral
GGAGAGGUGCCCGGAGCGGCUCAACGGGGACCUCGGGCGCAAGCCCAAGGUCGGGUCGUACGCGGCCCACGCAGGUUCGAAUCCUGCCCUCUCCGCCA